RNAcentral lists this ribosomal RNA (253 nucleotides) under uncultured bacterium. RNAcentral's name for it is "partial 16S ribosomal RNA". It matches the Rfam family "Bacterial small subunit ribosomal RNA", at positions 524 to 776 of the family's 1533-position model. The record is from RNAcentral.
UACGUAGGGUGCAAGCGUUAAUCGGAAUUACUGGGCGUAAAGCGUGCGCAGGCGGUUUUGUAAGUUUGUCGUGAAAUCCCCGGGCUUAACCUGGGAAUUGCGUUGGAGACUGCAAGGCUAGAAUCUGGCAGAGGGGGGUAGAAUUCCACGUGUAGCAGUGAAAUGCGUAGAGAUGUGGAGGAACACCGAUGGCGAAGGCAGCCCCCUGGGUCAAGAUUGACGCUCAUGCACGAAAGCGUGGGGAGCAAACAGG